RNAcentral lists this ribosomal RNA (477 nucleotides) under uncultured bacterium. RNAcentral describes it as "partial 16S ribosomal RNA". It matches the Rfam family "Bacterial small subunit ribosomal RNA", at positions 28 to 507 of the family's 1533-position model. The record is from RNAcentral.
GAUGAACGCUGGCGGCGUGCCUAAUACAUGCAAGUCGAGCGAACAGAUGAGGAGCUUGCUCCUCUGACGUUAGCGGCGGACGGGUGAGUAACACGUGGAUAACCUACCUAUAAGACUGGGAUCACUUCGGGAAACCGGAGCUAAUACCGGAUAAUAUAUUGAACCGCAUGGUUCAAUAGUGAAAGACGGUUUUGCUGUCACUUAUAGAUGGAUCCGCGCCUCAUUAGCUAGUUGGUAAGGGAGCGGCUUACCAAGGCAACGAUGGGUAGCCGACCUGAGAGGGGGACCAGCCACAAUAGGACUGAGAGACGGCCCAGACGGCAACGGGAGGCAGCAGGGGGGAAUAGUGCAGAAUGGGCGGAAGCCUGAUGCAGCAACGCCGGGUGCGGAAUGACGGCCUUCGGGGUAUAAACCGCUUUCGCCUGAGACGAAGCGUGAGUGACGGUAAUGGGUAAAGAAGCACCGGCUAACUACGUG